UGCCAGCCGCCGCGGUAAUACGGAGGGGGCUAGCGUUGUUCGGAAUUAUUGGGCGUAAAGGGCGCGUAGGCGGCUUGGUAAGUUGGUUGUGAAAUCCCUCGGCUUAACCGAGGAACUGCGACCAAAACUGCCGGGCUUGAGUUCCGGAGAGGGUAGCGGAAUUCCCAGUGUAGCGGUGAAAUGCGUAGAUACUGGGAGGAACACCAGUGGCGAAGGCGGCUACCUGGACGGAUACUGACGCUGAGGCGCGAAAGCGUGGGGAGCAAACAGGAUUAGAUA
This 279-nucleotide ribosomal RNA is filed under the name uncultured bacterium. RNAcentral describes it as "partial 16S ribosomal RNA". It matches the Rfam family "Bacterial small subunit ribosomal RNA", at positions 506 to 784 of the family's 1533-position model. The record is from RNAcentral.